RNAcentral lists this ribosomal RNA (357 nucleotides) under uncultured Streptococcus sp. RNAcentral describes it as "bacterial SSU rRNA". It matches the Rfam family "Bacterial small subunit ribosomal RNA", at positions 1024 to 1382 of the family's 1533-position model. Lineage: Bacteria; Bacillati; Bacillota; Bacilli; Lactobacillales; Streptococcaceae. The record is from RNAcentral.
ACAUCGGUGGACAGGUGGUGGCAUGGUUGUCGUCAGCUCGUGUCGUGAGAUGUUGGUUAAGUCCCGCAACGAGCGCAACCCCUAUUGUUAGUUGCCAUCAUUCAGUUGGGCACUCUAGCGAGACUGCCGGUAAUAAACCGGAGGAAGGUGGGGAUGACGUCAAAUCAUCAUGCCCCUUAUGACCUGGGCUACACACGUGCUACAAUGGUUGGUACAACGAGUUGCGAGUCGGUGACGGCGAGCUAAUCUCUUAAAGCCAAUCUCAGUUCGGAUUGUAGGCUGCAACUCGCCUACAUGAAGUCGGAAUCGCUAGUAAUCGCGGAUCAGCACGCCGCGGUGAAUACGUUCCCGGGCCUU